RNAcentral lists this ribosomal RNA (201 nucleotides) under uncultured Pseudomonas sp. RNAcentral's name for it is "partial 16S ribosomal RNA". It matches the Rfam family "Bacterial small subunit ribosomal RNA", at positions 334 to 526 of the family's 1533-position model. The record is from RNAcentral. Lineage: Bacteria; Pseudomonadati; Pseudomonadota; Gammaproteobacteria; Pseudomonadales; Pseudomonadaceae.
UACUCCUACGGGAGGCAGCAGUGGGGAAUAUUGGACAAUGGGCGAAAGCCUGAUCCAGCCAUGCCGCGUGUGUGAAGAAGGUCUUCGGAUUGUAAAGCACUUUAAGUUGGGAGGAAGGGCAGUUACGUUAAUACGUGAUUGUUUUGACGUUACCGACAGAAUAAGCACCGGCUAACUCUGUGCCAGCAGCCGCGGUAAUAC